Small nucleolar RNA from Ipomoea nil (Japanese morning glory), 79 nucleotides. It matches the Rfam family "Small nucleolar RNA Z155". Rfam says of the family: Z155 is a member of the C/D class of snoRNA which contain the C (UGAUGA) and D (CUGA) box motifs. Most of the members of the box C/D family function in directing site-specific 2'-O-methylation of substrate RNAs. NCBI's taxonomy places the organism in Eukaryota, Viridiplantae, Streptophyta, Magnoliopsida, Solanales, Convolvulaceae. The record is from Rfam.
CAUCGAGGUGAGGAUAAUCGAUUCGGAAAGGAUAUAUGUCGAUCGGAAAUACUUCCAGACUACAAUUAUCUGAUCGAUG